Molecule: ribosomal RNA, 166 nt
Filed under: uncultured bacterium
Lineage: Bacteria
Description: partial 16S ribosomal RNA
Rfam family: Bacterial small subunit ribosomal RNA
Source: RNAcentral
UAGUAAUCGCAGAUCAGAAUGCUGCGGUGAAUGCGUUCCCGGGUCUUGUACACACCGCCCGUCACACCACGGAAGUUGGGGCGCCCGAAGCCACUUAGCUAACCCUUUUGGGAAGCGAGUGUCGAAGGUGAAAUCAAUAACUGGGGUGAAGUCGUAACAAGGUAGC